This 2160-nucleotide unclassified non-coding RNA is filed under the name Ooceraea biroi (clonal raider ant). RNAcentral's name for it is "uncharacterized LOC105275091, transcript variant X2". Lineage: Eukaryota; Metazoa; Arthropoda; Insecta; Hymenoptera; Formicidae. The record is from RNAcentral.
CAUUGCUAAUAAAAUGCGAAAAGAAUCCGAGCAGGAGCCGACAGGAAAAUAUUGAGAGAAAUUUCGUCCAGAAAUUUCGCCUUAACUUCAUCAGGAUUGGAGCGAAGUAAGAAGUCUUGGCAGGAUCAAUAACAAACGUGAGGGGAACUCUUCAGAACCGAGCCUUCAAAACGAGCUCCCUUGCGGCCUUCAUCACCAUGUACAGAUCUCCACUAUAGCCAGUGAUUGUUGACGGCACAAGCGUCUUACCUACGACUCCAGAUGCACCUCUUGUGAAACUGAAGUGGGAAAGAAUGCAGUUAUAACUUCUGCGAAAAAUUGAGCCCUCGGGAGCGCAGUUCAACGUGAGCCGCUGUCUUAGAUGGAUCGUACAACCGUCCGCUGCGCUUUUCCAAUGUCGCUGUUCAUUGCGAUCUCUCGUGAUCUUAAUUAGUGAACGGUGUAUGUCAUUCUGUACACGCUAGUCCGCAUUGCUGUCUGAUUACACCGGACUCAUCAUUAAUUAAUUAACAUUAAGUAACGCGGGAAUGGAAUGUGACAUGAAAAGUGAAUAAAUUGUGCUAGAUGCGCGCGGUGAAGACAACUUGCAGUUUCUCCAUCUAAUUUAGAUAUCAUUGGAAAUCAUCGAUUGAUUGUAUGUGUGAAAAUUCCUCAAAGUGCUCGAGGAGUGAUGUCGAGUAGCACGGUUGACAUACCUGGAUUUUUUAUUCCUGGACACCCCACGGUGAGAUGCUGGAUCAACAGGCCGGAAGAUAUCGGGAUUCCACCUUCUCGUCUCGGAGGGCAAGACAAACGUUUACGUUUCACGCUGGCCGCCCUUAAUUGGCUCUACUUAAUGACCGGCCGUCAUCAUCAGGCUCCGUGACUCACGACGCUUGCUCGAGCAGAAUUCUAGCGUUACCCUCGUUUUACGCUUUACUGCGCGUUUAUUUGAGAUCCUUAGGAGAUACACCCCAGAUAACAAGGUGACGUCUUAAUGACGUCCUAAUAACGUCACGUUCUUACUUGGGAAGCUAUUCGACGUCUGAUACUCUGCAGCGGCUUCCGCGAUGAAUUUAGUUGAUAAUAAUGUAAAAUCGAAAGAAACUAAUGCAGCUGUUAACUGAUUACAUCAAUACAAUUUUUAGCGUGAUCACAACAAAUAACAUUGCAAACUCUAUUGAACGUAUCAGAUCGAAAAGACAACAAAGACACAAGAAGACAAGUUUGGCUGGAUUUUCUCGAUGUGAAUCUCAUGAACUUCUAUAAACGACUGCAGAAGAAUCAAAUAUUACUUGCGAAAUGUUCUGAUUUGCAUUCCGUGCAAUUUUAUAAUCAUAACAACCGUAAUUAUAUCACACGGUGCUUAUUAUUUAUAACACUUAUAUUCACUGACUUCUUUACAUCGUAUUCUUUACAUCUUUCAUUAUUUAUUCUAAUCGUUAUAUUGAUUGACAAUAUAAAUCGCUUUACGGUGAUGAAAUCAUUGGUCCGUAAGAUUAGAUUCGGAAGAGUCGUUUUUUAAUCGCCUUAAGGAUAGUUCAUGGGAACUGCUUACUCCGUUUUUGCUCUUACUAGAUAUUCAAUUGAAAAAUAAGUUUUUCAUGGGAACUGUUUACUCCGUUUUCGUUCUUAUUAGAUAUUCAAGUAAAAAAUAAGUUUUUCAUGAUCAAUAUCGGGAAAACGAACUUCUAGGUCGAGAUGAAAGGGAGGCAACGUGCGCUGAAUUAAAAAAUAAGCUUUCCAAGAUCAAUAUCGGGAAAACGAACUGAUUCCAAGCCGAGAUGAAAGACAGGGAAGGUGCGCCGAAUUAAAAAAUAAAUAUUUUCAUAAUCAAAGUCGGAGAAACGAACUUCCAGGCCGAGAUAAAAGGGAGGGAAGGUGUGCCGAAGUAAAAAAGUUCUUUAAGAUCAAUAACGGGAAAGCAAACUGAUUCCAAGCCGAGAUGAAAGGGAGGGAAGGUGCGCCGAAAUAAGUCCGACGACUGGAGGAGGAUGAAUCAUCCCCGUAGGCGAAUCGAGGCGAUCAAUAUCAAAGAUACAGCUGCCUGAUAAGAUAUCUUUCUCUUCGUCGAGCACACUUGUCGUGUGGGACCGGAGGAAUGCAAAGUGCAGGCUGGAAACUGCGCGGAAUAUACGAGACUGAGGGAAUGCUGUUGCCACUCGUACCUGGCCUCCGUCU